AUUGAACGCUGGCGGCAUGCUUUACACAUGCAAGUCGAGCGGCAGCGCGGGGUUCAGGCAACUGAGCCCUGGCGGCGAGCGGCGAACGGGUGAGUAAUACAUCGGAACGUACCCAGGAGUGGGGGAUAGCCCGGCGAAAGCCGGAUUAAUACCGCAUACGAUCUGUGGAUGAAAGUGGGGGACCUAAGGGCAACUGAGGGCCUCACGCUUUUGGAGCGGCCGAUGUCCGAUUAGCUAGUUGGUGGGGUAAAGGCCUACCAAGGCGACGAUCGGUAGCUGGUCUGAGAGGAUGAUCAGCCACACUGGGACUGAGACACGGCCCAGACUCCUACGGGAGGCAGCAGUGGGGAAUUUUGGACAAUGGGGCAACCCUGAUCCAGCCAUGCCGCGUGCGGGAAGAAGGCCU
This 406-nucleotide ribosomal RNA is filed under the name uncultured bacterium. RNAcentral's name for it is "bacterial SSU rRNA". It matches the Rfam family "Bacterial small subunit ribosomal RNA", at positions 29 to 417 of the family's 1533-position model. The record is from RNAcentral.